AUUGAACGCUGGCGGCAGGCCUAACACAUGCAAGUCGAGCGGAUGAAGGGAGCUUGCUCCUGUUUUCAGCGGCUGACUGGUGAGUAAUGCCUAGGAAUCUGCCUGGUAGUGGGGGCUAACGUCCGGAAACGGGCGCUAAUACCGCAUACGUCCUGAGGGAUAAAGUGGGGGAUCUUCGGACCUCACGCUAUCAGAUGAACCUAUGUCGGAUUAGCUAGUUGGUGGGGUAAAGGCCUACCAAGGCGACGAUCCGUAACUGGUCUGAGAGGAUGAUCAGUCACACUGGAAAUGAGACAAGGUCCAGACUCCUACGGGAGGCAGCAGUGGGGAAUAUUGGACAAUGGGCGAAAGCCUGAUCCAGCCAUGCCGCGUGUGUGAAGAAGGUCUUCGGAUUGGAAAGCACUUUAAGUUGGGAGGAAGGGCAGUAAGUUAAUACCUUGCUGUUUUGACGUUACCAAAAGAAUAAGCACCGGCUAACUUCGUG
Molecule: ribosomal RNA, 484 nt
Filed under: uncultured bacterium
Lineage: Bacteria
Description: partial 16S ribosomal RNA
Rfam family: Bacterial small subunit ribosomal RNA
Source: RNAcentral